CUGAAGCCCUUUGGCUUUAGGAAGGCCUCAUGUUCCUCUCACAUUUCUGCUUUAUUGUUUUCACCUCUAAACUCCAAACUCCUUGUUUUUCAUGAGUAUUUUCCUGCAUUCACGAUGGCCUCCUUUCUCUCUCAUUUCCCAGGAUGUAAUACCUCAGCCGCUGCUAGAUCAGUAUGUGUCCAUGACUGACCCAGCUCGAGCCCAGACUGUCGAUACUGACAUAGCCAAACACUGUGCCUACAGCCUCCCAGGGGUGGCACUGACCCUGGGCAGGCAAAAUUGGCACUGCCUGAAAGAUACAUAUGAAACACUGGCUUCUGAUGUACAGGUAAAAGCCUUUCCAGAGGCACGUGCAGAAAGAGGGUGGGUCAUUCAUUAGGGAGAAAAGGGAAGCUGCAGCAAGGCUUAUUGGCCUGAAUUUUAUGUGGAUGCAAAUUGGCAUGUUUACUGGUCUCUGAUGAAAUAAAGCUUUAAGUGGCCAAC
This is a long non-coding RNA of Homo sapiens (human), 483 nucleotides long. The record is from Ensembl. Lineage: Eukaryota; Metazoa; Chordata; Mammalia; Primates; Hominidae.